UACGAAGGGUGCAAGCGUUACUCGGAAUUACUGGGCGUAAAGCGUGCGUAGGCGGUUUGUUAAGUCUGAUGUGAAAGCCCUGGGCUCAACCUGGGAACGGCAUUGGAAACUGGCUUACUAGAGUGCGGUAGAGGGGUGUGGAAUUCCCGGUGUAGCAGUGAAAUGCGUAGAUAUCGGGAGGAACAUCUGUGGCGAAGGCGACACCCUGGACCAGCACUGACACUGAGGCACGAAAGCGUGGGGAGCAAACAGG
Molecule: ribosomal RNA, 253 nt
Filed under: uncultured bacterium
Lineage: Bacteria
Description: partial 16S ribosomal RNA
Rfam family: Bacterial small subunit ribosomal RNA
Source: RNAcentral